This 75-nucleotide transfer RNA is filed under the name Caudoviricetes sp. RNAcentral describes it as "tRNA-Arg". It matches the Rfam family "tRNA". From Rfam's summary of the family: Transfer RNA (tRNA) molecules are approximately 80 nucleotides in length. Their secondary structure includes four short double-helical elements and three loops (D, anti-codon, and T loops). Lineage: Duplodnaviria; Heunggongvirae; Uroviricota; Caudoviricetes. The record is from RNAcentral.
GCCCCGUUAGUCUAACGGAUAGAAUAUUCGGCUACGAACCGAAAGAUAGUGGUUCGAUUCCACUACGGGGUGCCA